This 76-nucleotide transfer RNA is filed under the name Fervidobacterium sp. RNAcentral describes it as "tRNA-Lys". It matches the Rfam family "tRNA". From Rfam's summary of the family: Transfer RNA (tRNA) molecules are approximately 80 nucleotides in length. Their secondary structure includes four short double-helical elements and three loops (D, anti-codon, and T loops). Further hydrogen bonds mediate the characteristic L-shaped molecular structure. tRNAs have two regions of fundamental functional importance: the anti-codon, which is responsible for specific mRNA codon recognition, and the 3' end, to which the tRNAs corresponding amino acid is attached (by aminoacyl-tRNA synthetases). tRNAs cope with the degeneracy of the genetic code in two manners: having more than one tRNA (with a specific anti-codon) for a particular amino acid; and 'wobble' base-pairing, i.e. permitting non-standard base-pairing at the 3rd anti-codon position. Lineage: Bacteria; Thermotogati; Thermotogota; Thermotogae; Thermotogales; Fervidobacteriaceae. The record is from RNAcentral.
GACCUGGUAGCUCAGCAGGUAGAGCACCUGACUUUUAAUCAGGGGGUCGCGGGUCCGAAUCCCGCCCGGGUCACCA